ACCGAGUGAGGGCCCUCUGGGUCCAACCUCCCAACCCGUGUUUAUUUUACCUUGUUGCUUCGGCGGGCCCGCCUUAACUGGCCGCCGGGGGGCUUACGCCCCCGGGCCCGCGCCCGCCGAAGACACCCUCGAACUCUGUCUGAAGAUUGAAGUCUGAGUGAAAAUAUAAAUUAUUUAAAACUUUCAACAACGGAUCUCUUGGUUCCGGCAUCGAUGAAGAACGCAGCGAAAUGCGAUACGUAAUGUGAAUUGCAAAUUCAGUGAAUCAUCGAGUCUUUGAACGCACAUUGCGCCCCCUGGUAUUCCGGGGGGCAUGCCUGUCCGAGCGUCAUUGCUGCCCUCAAGCCCGGCUUGUGUGUUGGGCCCCGUCCCCCGAUCUCCGGGGGACGGGCCCGAAAGGCAGCGGCGGCACCGCGUCCGGUCCUCGAGCGUAUGGGGCUUUGUCACCCGCUCUGUAGGCCCCGGCCGGCGCUUGCCGAUCAACCCAAAUUUUUAUCCAGGUUGACCUCGGAUCAGGUAGGGAUACCCGCUGAAACUUAAGCAUAUCAAUA
This 551-nucleotide ribosomal RNA is filed under the name Penicillium commune. RNAcentral's name for it is "eukaryotic LSU rRNA". The stretch from base 179 to 331 matches the Rfam family "5.8S ribosomal RNA". Lineage: Eukaryota; Fungi; Ascomycota; Eurotiomycetes; Eurotiales; Aspergillaceae. The record is from RNAcentral.